Long non-coding RNA from Oncorhynchus keta (chum salmon), 270 nucleotides. RefSeq lists it as uncharacterized. The transcript has 3 exons. NCBI's taxonomy places the organism in Eukaryota, Metazoa, Chordata, Actinopteri, Salmoniformes, Salmonidae. The record is from RefSeq and is a predicted model, not a curated record.
ACGCCAUCAUACAGGAGAGGAAGAAGUUUGGUCCUCUGGGUUGGAACAUCCGUUAUGAGUUCAACGACAGCGACAGAGAGUGUGCCCUGCUCAACCAGAACCUCUACUGUCAGACUGGUCACAUACCCUGGGAUGCUCUCAUCUACAUCACUGGGGAGAUAACCUACGGAGGCAGGGUGACUGAUGCCUGGGACCAGCGCUGUCUCCGCACCAUCCUCAAACGGUUCUUCUCUCCUGUCACCCUGGACCCAGGGUACACCUUCUCCACCU